RNAcentral lists this ribosomal RNA (253 nucleotides) under uncultured bacterium. Its description in RNAcentral is "partial 16S ribosomal RNA". It matches the Rfam family "Bacterial small subunit ribosomal RNA", at positions 524 to 776 of the family's 1533-position model. The record is from RNAcentral.
UACGUAGGGGGCAAGCGUUGUUCGGAAUUACUGGGCGUAAAGCGCACGUAGGCGGAUUGUUAAGUCAGAGGUGAAAUCCCGGAGCUCAACUUCGGAACUGCCUUUGAUACUGGCAAUCUAGAGUCCGGAAGAGGUUAGUGGAAUUCCCGGUGUAGCGGUGAAAUGCGUAGAUAUUGGGAGGAACACCAGUGGCGAAGGCGGCUCACUGGACCGGAACUGACGCUGAGGCGCGAAAGCGUGGGGAGCAAACGGG